UCCCGCCCCGCGCCCGGGUUAUGGCGCGGAACCUCCCUGUUGGACUGCCCGGGCCUUGCGCCCGGGCUUUUUU
RNAcentral lists this non-coding RNA (73 nucleotides) under Candidatus Rhodobacter oscarellae. RNAcentral describes it as "Candidatus Rhodobacter lobularis Singlet oxygen resistance RNA X". It matches the Rfam family "Singlet oxygen resistance RNA X". Rfam says of the family: SorX (RSs2461)like SorY is a singlet oxygen induced sRNA that counteracts oxidative stress by targeting mRNA for a transporter in Rhodobacter. It also has an impact on resistance against organic hydroperoxides. Lineage: Bacteria; Pseudomonadati; Pseudomonadota; Alphaproteobacteria; Rhodobacterales. The record is from Rfam by way of RNAcentral.